CUGGUUGAUCCUGCCAGUAGUCAUAUGCUUGUCUCAAAGAUUAAGCCAUGCAUGUCUUAGUGUAAAUAACUCUUAUGAAACUGCGAAUGGCUCAUUAAAUCAGUUAUCAAAUACGUGAUGGUCGCCUACUACAUGGAUAACCGUAGUAAUUCUAGAGCUAAUACAUGCACAAAGGCCCACGCAAGUGGGUUGUGAUUAUUAGAUUCAAACCAGCCUUGUUCUGGUGAUUCAUAAUAAUUGGUCGAACCGCAUGCCCUUGUGGUGGCGGUGAUUAAUCCUUAUUUCUGCACUAUCAACUUUC
RNAcentral lists this ribosomal RNA (301 nucleotides) under uncultured eukaryote. RNAcentral describes it as "SSU rRNA". It matches the Rfam family "Eukaryotic small subunit ribosomal RNA", at positions 4 to 323 of the family's 1831-position model. The record is from RNAcentral.